Molecule: long non-coding RNA, 609 nt
Organism: Paramisgurnus dabryanus
Lineage: Eukaryota; Metazoa; Chordata; Actinopteri; Cypriniformes; Cobitidae
Source: RefSeq, a predicted model, not a curated record
AUGGCGCUGGAGCCCUGCGGUACAUUACAUAGAUUCACCGACGAAAAAUACACGAAUCGCGCGGAUCAAAGAAAUUUGUUCUUUAGCUCUAAAAGAUUUUUACAGAGUUACACUAAAGAUGGAGAUUGUUCUAGACGACAUGGAUCCAGAACCCAUCAAGACUGAACACGACGAUCCUGAGGGGAAAAGUGAUCGUGAGGAGGACAGUGAAGGUCUCACUGUGGUGAAGGUAGAACAAAGUGAAGAAAAAUUCCAGACUGACAACAACAGUUCCUCACAAAGCAAAAAGAAGCAGAAAAGACCUUGCAAUGAAGAAAAGCCUUAUUCAUGCCUUUUGUGUAAAAAGACAUUCAAGAGUUUGUCCAGUCUGGAUUAUCACAUGCCCCUUCACUCUGGAGAAAGGCCGUUUGAUUGUGAUAAAUGUGGCAAAAAAUUUGUUUCAUUAAAUGCUCUGGAGUCACACGUGACAAAUCAUGAACGCCCUUGCUUGUGUCCUGUAUGUGGCAAGGCGUUUUCACGAGAAGACCAAUUAAGAGUUCACCAGACAAUUCAUACUGGCGUAAAAGAUUACGUGUGUCAGGUGUGUGAUAAGGGCUUUCGAUUGGCCAG